GAGAUCAGCUUUCUCUUUUCUCCAGAAGUAAUUGUGUCUGUGUAGUGAUAACUAUAUAUCACAGUGCUUUGAGCCAUUUCUGAAAUACCCAAGUAGAAUCAUCUUUAAAAAUAAGAGCUUAUUUUCUAAUUUAUCGCAACAAGAAGUUCAGAAAUAGGACAGUUCUAGGGUUGGUUAAUUCAAGGAACACAAGGUUCCUUACAUCUAUUUACUCUUUGUGUUAAUACCUUUCUCCAUGGUGACAAGGUGGCCAUAGCAACUCCAAGAAUCACCUUCUCACACAGCUCUGUGCAGAGGCAGUAAAAGGCCAAGUUCCUGACUUGUGUCCCUUUAUAUGAAUAUAAAUGUUCUGGAAGGGCCAAGGCCAACUUCCCCUUACAAUGCCAAGAUUUUGUGAGAUGUGCAUUAUUUAACUGAUUGUGGGCGGACCAAUGAAAUAUCCAUAAUUGGCUUAGAUCAUGAACACCCACAUUGGGAAGGAGUUAAUGAAGUACACUAAUCUCUGAUACAUGAACAAAACUGAGCUUCUGUUAGAAAGGAGGAAGGUGGAGAAUAUGACUGUUGGGUAGACAACCAAUAGGGUCAACCAAUGCCUGCAACAAUUACAGGGAAUGGCUGCCAGUUUGAAUGAAGCUAACACGAAGGAUGGCAGAGUGGUGAGAGAUAAAGAAUCUGGGUCUUUAAUGACAUAAUGAGCUGCUAAAUCAGACCAAACAAGAAGCCUGAGCAACUAUCUGUGGACCUCCUGUUAACGUGUUGAAGAACACCUGAGUGACCAGCACCCGGAGGAGAAACAGGACCUUAUCUAUGUCCCGAAGCCCCGCUGUGCCCUCUCCCGAUCACUAACCAUUAGAAGGAAAUUACUAUCCUACUUCUGAUGCCAUAAACUGAUUUUGCUUGUUUUUGAAUGUAACAUAAAUAGAAUCACACAGCAUGUA
Macaca mulatta (Rhesus monkey) is the source of this 938-nucleotide non-coding RNA. Lineage: Eukaryota; Metazoa; Chordata; Mammalia; Primates; Cercopithecidae. The record is from RefSeq and is a predicted model, not a curated record.